GUAGUCAUAUGCUUGUCUCAAAGAUUAAGCCAUGCAUGUCUAAGUGUAAGCAAUUUAUACUGUGAAACUGCGAAUGGCUCAUUAAAUCAGUUAUCGUUUAUUUGAUAGUACCUUACUACAUGGAUACCUGUGGUAAUUCUAGAGCUAAUACAUGCUAAAAACCCCGACUUCGGAAGGGGUGUAUUUAUUAGAUAAAAAACCAACGCCCUUCGGGGCUCCUUGGUGAAUCAUAAUAACUAAACGAAUCGCAUGGCCUUGCGCCGGCGAUGGUUCAUUCAAAUUUCUGCCCUAUCAACUUUCGAUGGUAGGAUAGUGGCCUACCAUGGUGGCAACGGGUAACGGGGAAUUAGGGUUCGAUUCCGGAGAGGGAGCCUGAGAAACGGCUACCACAUCCAAGGAAGGCAGCAGGCGCGCAAAUUACCCAAUCCCGACACGGGGAGGUAGUGACAAUAAAUACUGAUACGGGGCUCUUUCGGGUCUCGUAAUCGGAAUGAGAACGACCUAAAUAACCUAACGAGGAACAAUUGGAGGGCAAGUCUGGUGCCAGCAGCCGCGGUAAUUCCAGCUCCAAUAGCGUAUAUUAAAGUUGUUGCAGUUAAAAAGCUCGUAGUUGAACCUUGGGUCUGGCUGGCCGGUCCGCCUCACCGCGAGUACUGGUCCGGCCGGACCUUUCCUUCUGGGGAACCUCAUGGCCUUCACUGGCUGUGGGGGGAACCAGGACUUUUACUGUGAAAAAAUUAGAGUGUUCAAAGCANGCCUUUGCUCGAAUACAUUAGCAUGGAAUAAUAGAAUAGGACGUGCGGUUCUAUUUUGUUGGUUUCUAGGACCGCCGUAAUGAUUAAUAGGGAUAGUCGGGGGCGUCAGUAUUCAGCUGUCAGA
Molecule: ribosomal RNA, 879 nt
Filed under: uncultured fungus
Lineage: Eukaryota; Fungi
Description: SSU rRNA
Rfam family: Eukaryotic small subunit ribosomal RNA
Source: RNAcentral